CGCUGGCGGCAGGCCUAACACAUGCAAGUCGAACGGAUCCUUCGGGAUUAGUGGCGGACGGGUGAGUAACACGUGGGAACGUGCCUUUUGGUUCGGAACAACUCAGGGAAACUUGAGCUAAUACCGGAUAAGCCCUUCGGGGGAAAGAUUUAUCGCCAUUAGAGCGGCCCGCGUCUGAUUAGCUAGUUGGUGGGGUAAAGGCCCACCAAGGCGACGAUCAGUAGCUGGUCUGAGAGGAUGAUCAGCCACAUUGGGACUGAGACACGGCCCAAACUCCUACGGGAGGCAGCAGUGGGGAAUCUUGCGCAAUGGGCGAAAGCCUGACGCAGCCAUGCCGCGUGAAUGAUGAAGGUCUUAGGAUUGUAAAAUUCUUUCACCGGGGACGAUAAUGACGGUACCCGGAGAAGAAGCCCCGGCU
Molecule: ribosomal RNA, 418 nt
Filed under: uncultured bacterium
Lineage: Bacteria
Description: bacterial SSU rRNA
Rfam family: Bacterial small subunit ribosomal RNA
Source: RNAcentral